This 253-nucleotide ribosomal RNA is filed under the name uncultured bacterium. RNAcentral describes it as "partial 16S ribosomal RNA". It matches the Rfam family "Bacterial small subunit ribosomal RNA", at positions 524 to 776 of the family's 1533-position model. The record is from RNAcentral.
UACGUAGGGGGCAAGCGUUGUUCGGAAUUACUGGGCGUAAAGCGCGUGUAGGCGGUUGCCCAAGUCGGGUGUGAAAGCCUUGAGCUCAACUCAAGAAAUGCACUCGGUACUGGGUGACUAGAGGACCGGAGAGGAUAGUGGAAUUCCCAGUGUAGUGGUGAAAUACGUAGAGAUUGGGAAGAACACCAGUGGCGAAGGCGGCUAUCUGGACGGUUUCUGACGCUAAGACGCGAAAGCGUGGGGAGCAAACAGG